This 456-nucleotide ribosomal RNA is filed under the name uncultured bacterium. RNAcentral's name for it is "bacterial SSU rRNA". It matches the Rfam family "Bacterial small subunit ribosomal RNA", at positions 340 to 786 of the family's 1533-position model. The record is from RNAcentral.
UACGGAAGGCAGCAGUGGGGAAUAUUGCACAAUGGGCGCAAGCCUGAUGCAGCCAUGCCGCGUGUAUGAAGAAGGCCUUCGGGUUGUAAAGUACUUUCAGUCGUGAGGAAGGUGUUAAGGUUAAUAACCUUAGCAAUUGACGUUAGCGACAGAAGAAGCACCGGCUAACUCCGUGCCAGCAGCCGCGGUAAUACGGAGGGUGCGAGCGUUAAUCGGAAUUACUGGGCGUAAAGGGCACGCAGGCGGUUAAUUAAAGUUGGAUGUGAAAUCCCCGGGCUUAAACCUGGGAAUGGCAUUCAAGACUGGUUAGCUAGAGUCUUGUAGAGGGGGUAGAAUUCCAUGUGUAGCGGUGAAAUGCGUAGAGAUGUGGAGGAAUACCGGUGGCGAAGGCGGCCCCUGGACAAAAGACUGACGCUCAUGUGCGAAAGCGUGGGGAGCAAAACAGGAUUAGAUACC